GACGAACGCUGGCGGCGUGCCUAAUACAUGCAAGUAGAACGCACAGUUUAUACCGUAGCUUGCUACACCAUAGACUGUGAGUUGCGAACGGGUGAGUAACGCGUAGGUAACCUGCCUGGUAGCGGGGGAUAACUAUUGGAAACGAUAGCUAAUACCGCAUAAUAUUAAUUAUUGCAUGAUAAUUGAUUGAAAGAUGCAACUGCAUCACUACCAGAUGGACCUGCGUUGCAUUAGCUAGUAGGUGAGGUAACGGCUCACCUAGGCGACGAUACAUAGCCGACCUGAGAGGGUGAUCGGCCACACUGGGACUGAGACACGGCCCAGACUCCUACGGGAGGCAGCAGUAGGGAAUCUUCGGCAAUGGACGAAAGUCUGACCGAGCAACGCCGCGUGAGUGAAGAAGGUUUUCGGAUCGUAAAGCUCUGUUGUAAGAGAAGAACGGGUGUGAGAGUGGAAAGUUCACACUGUGACGGUAUCUUACCAGAAAGGGACGGCUAACUACGUG
RNAcentral lists this ribosomal RNA (505 nucleotides) under uncultured bacterium. RNAcentral describes it as "partial 16S ribosomal RNA". It matches the Rfam family "Bacterial small subunit ribosomal RNA", at positions 28 to 507 of the family's 1533-position model. The record is from RNAcentral.